UAGGGAAUCUUCGGCAAUGGGGGCAACCCUGACCGAGCAACGCCGCGUGAGUGAAGAAGGUUUUCGGAUCGUAAAGCUCUGUUGUAAGUCAAGAACGGGUGUGAGAGUGGAAAGUUCACACUGUGACGGUAGCUUACCAGAAAGGGACGGCUAACUACGUGCCAGCAGCCGCGGUAAUACGUAGGUCCCGAGCGUUGUCCGGAUUUAUUGGGCGUAAAGCGAGCGCAGGCGGUUUGAUAAGUCUGAAGUUAAAGGCUGUGGCUCAACCAUAGUUCGCUUUGGAAACUGUCAAACUUGAGUGCAGAAGGGGAGAGUGGAAUUCCAUGUGUAGCGGUGAAAUGCGUAGAUAUAUGGAGGAACACCGGUGGCGAAAGCGGCUCUCUGGUCUGUAACUGACGCUGAGGCUCGAAAGCGUGGGGAGCGAACAGGAUUAGAUACCCUGGUAGUCCACGCCGUAAACGAUGAGUGCUAGGUGUUGGAUCCUUUCCGGGAUUCAGUGCCGCAACUAACGCAUUAAGCACUCCGCCUGGGGAGUACGACCGCAAGGUUGAAACUCUAAAGUGAAUU
This 567-nucleotide ribosomal RNA is filed under the name uncultured bacterium. Its description in RNAcentral is "partial 16S ribosomal RNA". It matches the Rfam family "Bacterial small subunit ribosomal RNA", at positions 355 to 911 of the family's 1533-position model. The record is from RNAcentral.